ACACCUCCCACCCGAUCUCCCAGGAAGUGGAGCAGGCGACGGACAUCGAUAGAGUCUUUGACUGGAUCGCCUACAAAAAAGGGGCAGCACUGAUCCGGAUGUUGGCUAACGUGAUGGGACAGACGCUGUUCCAGAAAGGACUCAAUGAUUAUCUGCUGAGUCACAUGUACAGCAAUGCUGCUCGAGACGACCUGUGGAGCAAACUGUCUCAGG
Molecule: long non-coding RNA, 213 nt
Organism: Scomber scombrus (Atlantic mackerel)
Lineage: Eukaryota; Metazoa; Chordata; Actinopteri; Scombriformes; Scombridae
Exons: 3
Source: RefSeq, a predicted model, not a curated record